GGCCUAAAUUUGAAGUAGAGUAGGUUAGAAGGAUCAUCUGACCCUACUAAACUACUCUACCUCGAGUUUGUGCCC
This is a non-coding RNA of Haemonchus contortus (barber pole worm), 75 nucleotides long. The record is from Rfam. NCBI's taxonomy places the organism in Eukaryota, Metazoa, Nematoda, Chromadorea, Rhabditida, Trichostrongylidae.